AAUAACCUCAUUUUUCGUUUUUCCGUGUCCAACGUUUGACCAUUCGUCUUACUUAAAAAUUUUUUACGAUUAAUAUUUUUAUUAUUACUAGAUACUAAUUUUUUAGGUUUUUGCACAAGUUUUUUAAAUAAGACGAAUGGUCAAACGUUAGACACGGAAAAGC
This is a non-coding RNA of Oryza brachyantha (malo sina), 163 nucleotides long. The record is from Rfam. NCBI's taxonomy places the organism in Eukaryota, Viridiplantae, Streptophyta, Magnoliopsida, Poales, Poaceae.